CGAACGCUGGCGGCGUGCCUAAUACAUGCAAGUCGAACGCACCCUUCGGGGUGAGUGGCGCACGGCUGAGUAACACGUGGGAAUCUGUCGUCGAGUGGGGGAUAACGCACCGAAAGGUACGCUAAUCCCGCAUACGUUCCGUAAGGAAGAAAGGCGCAAGUCGCUGGACGAGGAGCCUGCGGCCCAUCAGGUAGUUGGAGGGGUAACGGCCCACCAAGCCAAUGACGGGUAGCUGGUCUGUGAGGACAACCAGCCACACUGGAACUGAGACACGGUCCAGACUCCUACGGGAGGCAGCAGUGAGGAAUUUUCUGCAAUGGGCGAAAGCCUGACAGAGCAAUACCGCGUGAGGGAUGAAGGCCUACGGGUUGUAAACCUCUUUUUUCAAGGAGGAAGAUCUGACGUUACUUGAAGAAUAAGCAUCGGCUAACCCUGUGCCAGCAG
RNAcentral lists this ribosomal RNA (444 nucleotides) under uncultured bacterium. Its description in RNAcentral is "bacterial SSU rRNA". It matches the Rfam family "Bacterial small subunit ribosomal RNA", at positions 30 to 514 of the family's 1533-position model. The record is from RNAcentral.